RNAcentral lists this ribosomal RNA (383 nucleotides) under uncultured bacterium. Its description in RNAcentral is "bacterial SSU rRNA". It matches the Rfam family "Bacterial small subunit ribosomal RNA", at positions 28 to 416 of the family's 1533-position model. The record is from RNAcentral.
GACGAACGCUGGCGGCGUGCUUAACACAUGCAAGUCGAGCGGUAAGGCCCUUUCGGGGUACACGAGCGGCGAACGGGUGAGUAACACGUGGGUGACCUGCCCUCAGCUCUGGGAUAAGCCUGGGAAACCGGGUCUAAUACUGGAUAUGACUCCAUGACGCAUGUUGUGGGUGAAAGCCUUGUGCGGCUGAGGAUGGGCCCGCGGCCUAUCAGCUUGUUGGUGGGUGAUGGCCUACCAAGGCGACGACGGGUAGCCGGCCUGAGAGGGCGACCGGCCACACUGGGACUGAGACACGGCCCAGACUCCUACGGGAGGCAGCAGUGGGGAAUCUUGCGCAAUGGGCGAAAGCCUGACGCAGCGACGCCGCGUGAGGGAUGACGGCC